This 254-nucleotide ribosomal RNA is filed under the name uncultured prokaryote. Its description in RNAcentral is "partial 16S ribosomal RNA". It matches the Rfam family "Bacterial small subunit ribosomal RNA", at positions 524 to 776 of the family's 1533-position model. The record is from RNAcentral.
UACGGAGGGUGCGAGCGUUGUUCGGAAUUAUUGGGCGUAAAGCGCACGUAGGCGGCCUGGUAAGUCUCACUGUGAAAGCCCGGGGCUCAACCCCGGGAGGCCAGGGGAUACUGCAAGGCUAGAGACAGGUAGAGGCUGGUAGAAUUCCGGGUGUAGCGGUGGAAUGCGUAGAGAUCCGGAGGAAUACCUGAGGCGAAGGCGGCCAGCUGGGCCUGAUCUGACGCUGAGGUGCGAAAGCGUGGGGAGCGAACAGG